AGAGUUUGAUCCUGGCUCAGAUUGAACGCUGGCGGCAUGCCUUACACAUGCAAGUCGAACGGUAACGCGGGGGCAACCCUGGCGACGAGUGGCGAACGGGUGAGUAAUACAUCGGAACAUAUCCAGUAGCGGGGGAUAACCUAUCGAAAGAUUGGCUAAUACCGCAUACGAUCUACGGAUGAAAGCAGGGGACCGCAAGGCCUUGCACUAUUGGAGUGGCCGAUGUCAGAUUAGCUAGUUGGUGGGGUAAAAGCCUACCAAGGCGACGAUCUGUAGCUGGUCUGAGAGGACGAUCAGCCACACUGGAACUGAGACACGGUCCAGACUCCUACGGGAGGCAGCAGUGGGGAAUUUUGGACAAUGGGCGCAAGCCUGAUCCAGCCAUGCCGCGUGAGUGAAGAAGGCCUUCGGGUUGUAAAGCUCUUUCGGUGAAGACGAAACGGUUAGCGCUAAUAACGCUGACUAAUGACGGUACUCACAGAAGAAGCACCGGCUAACUACGUGCCAGCAGCCGCGGUAAUACGUAGGGUGCAGGCGUUAAUCGGAAUUACUGGGCGUAAAGCGUGCGCAGGCGGUUUGCUAAGACAGGUGUGAAAUCCCCGGGCUUAACCUGGGAAUUGCGCUUGUAACUGGCAAGCUAGAGUGUGGCAGAGGGGGGUGGAAUUCCACGUGUAGCAGUGAAAUGCGUAGAUAUGUGGAGGAACACCGAUGGCGAAGGCAGCCCCCUGGGUUAACACUGACGCUCAGGCACGAAAGCGUGGGGAGCAAACAGGAUUAGAUACCCUGGUAGUCC
This 793-nucleotide ribosomal RNA is filed under the name uncultured bacterium. RNAcentral describes it as "bacterial SSU rRNA". It matches the Rfam family "Bacterial small subunit ribosomal RNA", at positions 8 to 796 of the family's 1533-position model. The record is from RNAcentral.